Molecule: small RNA, 60 nt
Filed under: Mycobacterium tuberculosis H37Rv
Lineage: Bacteria; Bacillati; Actinomycetota; Actinomycetes; Mycobacteriales; Mycobacteriaceae
Description: npcR 5426
Source: RNAcentral
CCCCACCAGAACCACGUUGCGAACGCCGCCGGGCCCGUUUGCGGUGGGAGCGGCGGCCGC